Molecule: non-coding RNA, 1197 nt
Filed under: Triticum aestivum (bread wheat)
Lineage: Eukaryota; Viridiplantae; Streptophyta; Magnoliopsida; Poales; Poaceae
Also listed under: 1 other name
Description: Bacterial large subunit ribosomal RNA
Rfam family: Bacterial large subunit ribosomal RNA
Source: Rfam by way of RNAcentral
AUGAGUAACGAGAAAUCCUGUGAAAAACACGAUCGCCUACCAAUGGAAGGCUUUCUGCGUUCAGUCAAUCUACGCAGAGUGAGUCGGUCCCUAAGGAACCGCCGAAAGGACUGCCGUCCGAUGGGUACACGAAAGUGACGAAGUUGCUUUGACUACUGAACCAUGCCUGGAUCAUCGGAGCGAGUUGGACGAUCGGACCGAGGGCUGCCCCCUCUUCCCCUCUCUCUCCUUUCCUUAAUAUUCACCGUCGAGUCAGCAAAGCCGUCAACUAAUUCAGAGGGGCUCGGAUGGCCCGGUCACCCUACGCUACUGGUGCUUCCAAAGGCGAAGCUCUCGUCUUUGGCGACCAACAAAUGGAUGGCUAAAACCUGUAGUUUUGAAGCAAGGGAUGAGAGGGAAAUCCGUUGCGCUUCCGUACACGCGCAUAUGUUUUCUUGCUGGGGCAGACACGGAUUUCUCUCUAAAGGCAAAGAAAAAGAAGUGGGCGAACACUCGGCCCAGCGGGCGAACAUGCCGGCUUGGGCUCCGCGCACCUGCUGACACCUUUCGAAGCUCUUUCACGUGUGAACCGAAGUCGUCUUGCCGAACUCCUUCCUUUCUCAUUUCAGUCCUCGCAUUUUUCAUCUUCCGUAGGGGCCUUUAGUAUUUUGAUUAGAGUGGAGGUCGCGAGAGAGUAGAGCGUACAGCCCUGCCAUAGUUGCGAGGAUCUUAAUAGUCGGUCGCCACUGUUUUUAUAGUCAACGAUAGUUGGAACUUUCAAGAAAAACUUCAAAUUGGGAGGGCGAUCCUCCCAGUGAACUGACCAUACCCCAAACCGAUACAGGUGAACAAGUAGAGUAUACUAGGUCACGUCGACAGAACCAUGUUGAAGGAACUCAGCAAAAUGACCCCGUAACUUCGGGAGAAGGGGUGCUCUCCUAUCUUUUGAUUAGGAAAGCGGCACAUACUAGGGGGUAGCAACUUUUUAUUAAAAACAGAGGACUCUGCUAAGUGGUAACAUGAUGUAUAGAGUCUGACACCUGCCCGGUGCUAGAAGGUCAGAAGGAGAAGUGUGAUAAGCUUUGAAUGGAGCCUCGGUAAACGGCGGCAGUAACUCUAACUGUCCUAAGGUAGCGAAACUCCUUGUCGCAUAAGUAGCACCCUGCACGAAUGGUGUAACGACUGCCCUACUAUCUCUGACAUGGACCCGGUGAAAUU